GACCUCUUGGCUCAGUGGUAGAGCAUCUGAUUCCAGUACAACAGUGGUUUCCAGAAGGUCGUCCGUUCGAUCCGGGCAGAGGUCA
Molecule: non-coding RNA, 85 nt
Organism: Mycena epipterygia
Lineage: Eukaryota; Fungi; Basidiomycota; Agaricomycetes; Agaricales; Mycenaceae
Source: the annotation of a GenBank genome assembly